CCUACGGGAGGCAGCAGUGGGGAAUAUUGCUCAAUGGGGGGAACCCUGAAGCAGCAACGCCGCGUGGGGGAGGAAGGUCUUCGGUAUGUAAAGCCCUUUUGGUAGGGAAGAAAAUGACGGUAUCUGACGAAUAAGCACCGGCUAACUCCGUGCCAGCAGCCGCGGUAAUACGGAGGGGGCAAGCGUUACUCGGAAUCACUGGGUGUAAAGGGCGCGUAGGCGGGAUAGCAAGUCAGAUGUGAAAGGCUAUGGCUUAACCCUGGAACUGCAUUUGAAACUGGGAUUCUUGAGUGUGGGAGAGGUAGGUGGAAUUCGUGGUGUAGGGGUAAAAUGCGUAGAUAUCAAGAGGAACACUCAUUGCGAAGGCGGCCUGCUGGAACAUAACUGACGCUGAGGCGCGAAAGCGUGGGGAGCAAACAGGAUUAGAUACCCCUGUAGUC
Molecule: ribosomal RNA, 440 nt
Filed under: uncultured bacterium
Lineage: Bacteria
Description: partial 16S ribosomal RNA
Rfam family: Bacterial small subunit ribosomal RNA
Source: RNAcentral